UUUGACGGGAGUAUCGACGAUCGCGUGGGGACGAAGCUUUAUUUAGAAAUUGGUGAACAGAAGAGUGUCGAACGGGAAAAACUCCGAAGGAAGAAAACAGGCCACAAUCACUGUGGCGGUUAGAAUAAUCGAGAAGGUACCCGGUAUUGCCCGGUAUUUUCAAGAAUUGAUGGUAUUUAUUCCGUUAGAUCAGAAUCCGACCAUGGAAAUGUGAAACUCAAUAUCCUUCGUAAAGUUUCUGAAAAGUGAGUCCUGAUAGAAACGAUGGCGAGGAGUAUUCCGGUUCGGCUAUCAAUAUGGAAUUUCUGAUUGAGGCAAGAAUCCAACUAGCAAGAAUCCGACCACCGCUCAGGAAGACCACCUCUGGCAUGCAUACGCUUUGCUUCAUUCACUGUGCAAUAACAGCCGUACUCCGAAGAUCUUUGUGCAUCCUCAGUGCAAUGACUCCCUGAACCGACAUGUCGAUGACCUUCCAUCCACGAACUUAAAUAGCCGUGCGGUUCUUUGUUCGGGAAUGCUUUCAAAUUCUUGCGUGUUGCAGUGAGGCGCCCCAGUUGGAGUUGUUCCGGAAUUUAGAUCCCCUAGCGGAUUCACAUCGUCAACUUCUGGCUUUCCAAGAAUGCGCUGGUUGCAAAUCGUAUUAUCAUGGUCACUAAGCAUCAACUAAUUAAGGCUAGUAAUACUGACGCAAAACGAUAAACGCCGAAGAUUGAUCGACCAAUCUGCAGCAGUCGAGGGUGAUAAAUUUCCCCAUUUAUUGUGCUAAUUCGUUGAUUUUGCUGCUGGAUUAUGCGCUGGAGAUCCACCCUUUGCCUCCUGUUGUUAAACUUCAUGUAUUGCGGUGCUGCAUAUUAUCCCACCCUUUGCUGCCAGUUCCGGUGCUACGAUUCCUGCUCGUAGCGAAGGCUAUCGCUGUUUUUCGAUCCUGCUGCUGUGACAUCCUGACCAAAUAUUUUUAUUCAACUGAACAUUAAGCAUGCUGCGGAAAACCGUUCGUUUCGCCAUAUUGAUCAGCAGCUGUAAGAUACCACGAAGGAAACCAACAAUAAUACUGGAUUUGACGGGUCUGGAGCAUCCCCAGAAGCAGGUUAGAGAAGGUUAGCAGGCCAUUGGAGGAACAAUCCACAGCGGAGCUAUCGAUAAAUCGCUUGGGGAACGUGGACAUUUGCGUGAUUCGGACUAAAAAUUGAAAGCAAAGGCUGCUAUUUCCGAGGCUAUUCGUUUUCGUACCGAGGGCUGAUUUUCUUUGCUACUAUGCGAUGCCAAAGAAGCUUCCACACCGAUGAUCUUGAUUCAACGAUCUUUGCACCUGUGGUGACGGAACGGGGCUUUCACAGUACUUCCAGCAUCCUUACUGCUCUCACAAGUUUCGGGAUUAUAUACCGUCAAAUCUCUACACGGCUACUGCGGAGCAGCCUAGCAGGUGACCCGGUACCUGCUGCGGUUAACGCUUACUGACCCGAAGCUGCUACUGAUCAUCCAGCCAGUUCCGGUUUCGUCGAUCGCGUAAUUUUAAUAUUUCGGUAAUCAGUUUCGCUAAUUGCCCAACAUCCAACAACGAAUAGGUUGAUAAAGACUGUAUAUUGUAAAUAUAUUUAUAUAGUAGAAUUAAAUUAAGAAGGCAUGCCAAAAAGCUGCCAGCUGUUGAUGAAUAUAAAAAAAAUGAUAAUAAUGUGCACUAUAGGCUUAUUUGUUUCGUUUUUUUUUGCGAAAUAUUGAUUUGUUUAUAUAUUUGCCCGGUAUGGUACAUAAUCAACAGAGCGAGAUGCAUCACUCCAGCAUGCUGAUGAUCUCAGUAACGGAGAUUAAACCGGGUGCGACUGCGACUGUCUCCAACAGAACAAACAAGCUCUCGUCAAAGCUGUCCAUAUGCAUGUGUACAAGAGCCAAGAAUAGCAUUAUCCAUUCUUUUAGGUAAUCAUUUACAGUAUAAUAAAAAUAAUACCUAAUCUAUUUUUUCGCAACAUUUUGUUACAUAGUUAGAAAUCAUGAUAUUCAUUUGAUUGUAAUUCAGAUUAAAUUGAUUUGGUUUUAUUGAGUAAUAAACUUUUAUUUUAAAUCACUUAAAGUAAAUUAUUAUUUGGUUUUAUUUAGGUUUUUAUUCAACCAAAUAUUUUUUUUAGGUAAUUUGUUUUCGAAAUUGUUCUUUUUCAACUUAGAACCUUAGCUUAAUGAUAGAAAUAGCUGACGCUGUUGCCAUUGCUUCUUCGUCUUCAACUCGACGGAGCAUAACUCCAACAAUUAAGAUUCUCGAAGUAACUAGUUGUAUUAGGGAAUCAAUUUUGAUGUGAUUCAAACGCUGCCAGCGAUAACGAAAAUAUGAGGUGAAACUGAUUUACUCAAAGUCACAAUAGGUUGGAGAAUGAAUAGCCAAACAGUU
This is a long non-coding RNA of Armigeres subalbatus, 2380 nucleotides long. RefSeq lists it as uncharacterized. The transcript has 5 exons. The record is from RefSeq and is a predicted model, not a curated record. Lineage: Eukaryota; Metazoa; Arthropoda; Insecta; Diptera; Culicidae.